AACGAACGCUGGCGGCAGGCUUAACACAUGCAAGUCGAGCGCACUCUUUUAGAGUGAGCGGCAAACGGGUGAGUAACGCGUGGGAAUCUACCCAUCUCUACGGAAUAACACAGAGAAAUUUGUGCUAAUACCGUAUACGUCCUUUUUGGAGAAAGAUUUAUCGGAGAUGGAUGAGCCCGCGUUGGAUUAGCUAGUUGGUGAGGUAAAGGCUCACCAAGGCGACGAUCCAUAGCUGGUCUGAGAGGAUGAUCAGCCACACUGGGACUGAGACACGGCCCAGACUCCUACGGGAGGCAGCAGUGGGGAAUAUUGGACAAUGGGGGCAACCCUGAUCCAGCCAUGCCGCGUGAGUGAUGAAGGCCCUAGGGUUGUAAAGCUCUUUCACCGGUGAAGAUAAUGACGGUAACCGGAGAAGAAGCCCCGGCUAACUUCGUGCCAGCAGCCGCGGUAAUACGAAGGGGGCUAGCGUUGUU
This 473-nucleotide ribosomal RNA is filed under the name uncultured bacterium. RNAcentral describes it as "bacterial SSU rRNA". It matches the Rfam family "Bacterial small subunit ribosomal RNA", at positions 28 to 545 of the family's 1533-position model. The record is from RNAcentral.